CGGCGUGAAGAAGCAUGCAGUCGAAUGGGUUUUAGACCCAUGGCAGAACGAAGGUAGGAGCACGUAUGCGUCAUCAAACCCCAAAGUCAGGGAUAAUCUGUCGAAAGGCAGGAUAAUACUUGAUAGUCUCUUCGGAGUAAAGAUUUAUCGCUUUGGGAUUGGCCUGCGUUCUAUCAGCUUGUUGGUAAGGUAACGGCUUACCAAGGCUACGACGGAUAGGGGAGGUGAGAGCCUGACCCCCACCGAUGGAACUGCGACACGGUCCAUACUCCUACGGGAGGCCGCAGUCGAGAAUCUUCCGCAAUGGACGAAAGUCUGACGGAGCGACGCCGCGUGGUGGAUGAAGCAUUUCGGUGCGUAAACACCUUUUAUGAGUGAAGAAGUAUAUUGACAUUAGCUCAUGAAUAAGGGGCUCCCAACUCUGUGCCAGCAGGAGCGGUAAUACAGAGGCCCCAAGCGUUAUCCGGAUUCACUGGGCGUAAAGGGUGCGUAGGCGGUUAUAUUAGUCAGGUGUUAAAUCCUUGGGCUCAACCCAAGAAUCGCAUUUGAAACGGUAUAACUAGAAGUAGUCAGAGGCUAGCAGAGCUCUCGGUGUAGGGGUGAAAUCCGUUGAUAUCGAGGGAAAUACCAAAUGCGAAGGCAGCUAGCUGGGGCUCACUUGACGCUGAGGCACGAAAGCGUGGGUAGCGAACGGGAUUAGAUACCCCGGUAGUCCACGC
Molecule: ribosomal RNA, 719 nt
Filed under: uncultured bacterium
Lineage: Bacteria
Description: bacterial SSU rRNA
Rfam family: Bacterial small subunit ribosomal RNA
Source: RNAcentral